Molecule: transfer RNA, 64 nt
Filed under: Rhinebothrium sp. 3 DJM-2021
Lineage: Eukaryota; Metazoa; Platyhelminthes; Cestoda; Rhinebothriidea; Rhinebothriidae
Description: tRNA-Trp
Source: RNAcentral
ACGAGGUUAAGUUAAAAAGACUAAAUGUUUUCAAAACAUUCAGUGGCUAUUUUGUCAUCUCGUG